AGAGUUUGAUCCUGGCUCAGGACGAACGCUGGCGGCGUGCCUAACACAUGCAAGUCGAACGGAGUUUAAUAACGGAAACCUUCGGGCGGAAGAUAUUAAACUUAGUGGCGGACGGGUGAGUAACGCGUGAGCAACCUGCCUCUCAGAGGGGGAUAACGUUUGGAAACGAACGCUAAUACCGCAUAACAUAUCUUUACCGCAUGAUAGAGAUAUCAAAGGAGCAAUCCGCUGAGAGAUGGGCUCGCGUCCGAUUAGAUAGUUGGUGAGGUAACGGCUCACCAAGUCGACGAUCGGUAGCCGGACUGAGAGGUUGAACGGCCACAUUGGGACUGAGACACGGCCCAGACUCCUACGGGAGGCAGCAGUGGGGGAUAUUGCACAAUGGGCGCAAGCCUGAUGCAGCAACGCCGCGUGAGGGAAGACGGUCUUCGGAUUGUAAACCUUUGUUCUUAGUGAAGAAAUUUGACGGUAGCUAAGGAGAAAGCCACGGCUAACUACGUGCCAGCAGCCGCGGUAAUACGUAGGUGGCAAGCGUUGUCCGGAAUUACUGGGUGUAAAGGGAGCGCAGGCGGGAGAGCAAGUCAGCUGUGAAAUCUAAGGGCUUAACCCUUAAAUUGCAGUUGAAACUGUUUUUCUUGAGUGAAGUAGAGGUAGGCGGAAUUCCGAGUGUAGCGGUGAAAUGCGUAGAUAUUCGGAGGAACACCAGUGGCGAAGGCGGCCUACUGGGCUUUAACUGACGCUGAGGCUCGAAAGUGUGGGGAGCAAACAGGAUUAGAUACCCUGGUAGUCCACACUGUAAACG
This is a ribosomal RNA of 802 nucleotides. It matches the Rfam family "Bacterial small subunit ribosomal RNA", at positions 8 to 808 of the family's 1533-position model.